CCCUUCAUGUUCUUGAAUUUGCAAUCUUUUUUUGGAAUCUUUUGCUAUUGCUGAGUAGUGAAAAAUUUUGAACUGUAGAUGGGUUAAACUCACUGGGACAGACCUUUUGCCUGGGGAUGUUGUGUCUAUUGGGCGUUCUACUGGUCCAGCAGGAGAAGAUAAGUCUGCGCCAGCUGAUAUGCUUUUGCUAGCUGGAAGUGCGAUCGUAAAUGAAGCUAUUCUGACAGGCGAGUCUACCCCUCAGUGGAAGGUGGUCUUCUUGUUCUUUUUCUCUUCCCUAACCCACAAAACCAUUUUUUGGAAACUUUUGCUUUUUGCUUUUUGCUUUUCUUUUUUUUUUGUGGGAAUUUUAUGAUUGUGCUACUCUUUGUUUGGCAAAUAAAUAGAAUUGAUUGGUAUUUGGCACAAUGUUUCAUGGGAUCAAUUGAGAUGUUCAAUGUACGAAAGCUUGCACCUUUCUUGGCGAGAGUUAAUGCUUGAAAAGUGCAUGUUUGCAUAAGUGCAUAUCCUGGAGGUUAACAACAUAAAAAAUAUAGCUAAAAAGCUACUGUUUUAAUAUUCUUUAAUUUUCUUGUUGCAUAAGUGUGCUGAUAUCUUGGAAAAAUUAUUACAUCUAAAUUGUUCGUGGAGCCGUGUCCUGGGGGAAAAUAUAUGACUCCUAUGUUCUCUGCAGUAUCGACUCUUUGUGAGAAAGGGCAAGCUAAUAGUUGAAAAAUGAUGAAGGCUUUGGGAAACCCUUAAACUAGUUCCCUCUUUCAAAAACCCAAGCCAAGUUUGGAUUUUUAUCCAAAAGUGGCCUUUGUUUCUUGAAAGUUUGUUUUGUCAUGUUUGGGUGGGAUUGGUAAUGGACAAUUGUUUUUGCUCUUCUGAUGAGGUUGAACGUUCGCUAAGUUAGGACAAUUGUUCAGCUCCACUCAGAUUAAAGUAGGGAGACCGGGACACAAGUUAAAGCAUCUUGUUGUGAAGGUUAAGCACCCUGAUUUCACCAUUUGAAAUGAAAACCUCAAAUGUGACAUUAAGUGUUUUACUGUUCUGGACAAAGAAUGCUUAAUAAGCUCCUGUAAAGCUGGUAAGCAGCUAAUUUAGGUUUGAACUUUGCUUGUUGGUCCACUCAGGUAAAGCCUUUUGAGUCUUUUAGCACAAGUUGUGACUUGAUCUUUACCCUUACCAAAUAGUUGUUCUGCUUAAAAUUGGAUAGGAGCUAGCCAACACCCAUUAAUUUUUUAUAAGGUGAGGUGUUACAUUUUCUGUGCACCCUGAACAGUAAGGUACCUUAUCUGAACAGUCUAUGAAAACUUGAUUCUCCUUAAAAUUGGAUUGAAGAGUUUAUGGUUACAACAGAUGUCUCUCUCUCUCUCUCCCUGUUUUUUUUUUGGUACACUAACAGCAAGUGUGCAAUCGUGCUUGCCUUUGUAUCUGCAUUUUGAGUGAGGUCUGCAAAACGUUUGUAUCAAUGAACCAGAUCUCUCUGAGGGGUUGGCCUCUUAGUUUUACUGUCUUAUAUUUGAAAGAAGGAACUAGUUGAGAGAUUUAUCUGCAUGCAGCAUUGCAUUCUCUGCACAACUUUUUUUGAUGGCCAACACAAAUUACUCAUUUACUGGUGCUGCAUCUGUAUCUUCAGUGGAACUCUUUUAGUGGUUAAGCAGUUGAAAUCAAUUUUCUAGCUGGGUAGUUUUUUUUUGGAUCCGCAUCUCAUGGUCUUCUUGUUUCCUCUUUUUUUUUUUGGUCUUUUUUUGUCUUUUGUUUUUUAUAAGUUAUUCUUUUGAUGCUCUUCAACAUUUUUAAUGUGAAAAUGUCCUUUUCAGGUUUCAAUCAUUGGUAGAGGAACAGAUGAGAAAUUAUCAGCUAAUAUGGGAUUGCGAGAUUUUUAUUUUUAUUUUUUGCGAAUAAUGAUACAUAAACAUAUAGUUUGUUUGGAUAUGACUAGGGGUGAGCAUCGAAAUCGAAAUCGAUAAUUCGGCUGAUUAAAUUCAUUGAUUUCGGUAAUUUUUCUUGUGAGAUUCCAACCUAAUUCAAUUUCGAAUUGAAAACUUUUAGUUUCGAUUUCGAUUCAAUUCGAAAUUGGAAGAGUAGCGAAUACCGAAUUCAAAAAGAAUAAUGCAUUUUGUUAUAUAUUAUAAAGUGCAUCAUAACAUAAUAUAAUGAUAUAUUCUUAUGAUAACAUUUAGUUUUACAUAAAAUUGAAUGUAUAUAACAUUCUAAUAUGUAUUUUGCACAUGCUAUUUACUUAUAUAUGGUAUUCAUGUAUAAUACAUACAUGUCUAAAUUAUAUAUGUGUUGUUUAAUAUUUAAAUAUUUUUUCAAUUCAAAAUUAGUAAAAUCCGACUUCAAAAACCAGUACCAUUUUCAUAUCUAUUUCAAAAUACAUGAAUUCGAUAUCUUCGUCAUCCUUCUAAAUUUAUGAAUUACGAAUUCUGAAUUUUUGAAUUCAUUUGGAAAUUGAUUGGUAAUUUGGUAAAUUUUGAAUUUUUACACCCUUAAAUGUAACUUAGUAUUUGGGAAAUGUUGUCGAAUUUUCUAUGUUUCUCUCUCUCAUUUCUCUACAAUGAUCAUAUACAUGGGAGUCUAUAAACACUUACUAUGGUUCACUACCCAGCACUAUUUCGUUUUGGCGAAAAGUUUUGAGUUCUAGCUUGACUUUGAAAUUGACUUGUGUUCUCUGUACAUGCUCCAUUUUGCAGGUCAAUGACAUUCACCAAGCAGAUUCAUGCAAAGUUAUUCCUGCUAAAUUCUGUGGUUCAAAAGAAAUUGUGCCCCUACAUUUUCGAAAGGUUCGAAGCCUGCUGAUAAUCUUGUGAAUUUUGAUUUCCAGCCUUCUUGUUCCACGAGUUGAAUCCUGAUUUCAACUUAUUUUUGUUUUCAUUUUGACUUUGGAUAUACUGCUUUCAAUAGGUUGUCAUGAUUUCACUAAAGCUGUAAGUAAUAUGAGUUACACCAUUAGAUGCUACAGUAUCUGUCAGGCACAAAAUAGCUAUAUUAUGAAAUACGAAGUAUUCAUGGAAAAACCUGUACAUCCUGGCUAUGUUAUGAUUUACCUAUGGCAGUGAAUAAUUAGAGUUCCAUUCUCUGAAAAUUAUCCCCUGUACUUGUACGUCCAUUAUAGCUCACAUGAGAACUGUCUCCGAUCAAGUUGUCUUUGUACUAGGGAUUUGACCACUAGAUUCUGGAGCACUUGUCUGAAAGAUUAUUAGAACGAUGCUAUGAUGGCCUCGAUAUUUAAUCCAGAUUCUGGAUGGUUUAUUACCUGGCAAAUGAUAGGUGGCAAAUGGCAAGUUUGGUGUGUAAUUGGGUGGGUUGUAAGUGGAUCACUAAUAAAUGGGUGAAAUUCCAAUUGAACAAAUGAUUAUAAGGUAUUAGGUGGGUUAUCAAUGGACCUGUAAGACCUAUUCUCAAGGUGACAUGAUAAUUUUUUUUUCAACUAUCUUUUUACAUGAUUUUUACCCUUUUAUUUUCUCCCUCGUUUCCCCUUUACCUUUUGGCUUUUCGAUUCUAAAAUAUUAAUGCAAUUGCCAACUGUCCUCUCCAUUGCUUGUUGAAUUAUCUGUACCAUUUGCAUGAACACGCCAUUUUGAAUUUCAUUUUCUGCACAAAUACCAUCAUUGGCCUGCAAAAUACUAGAAAUUUGGUGAAAAGCUUUGAAUUGACUAUGGCCGACGCUGGCAACUUCAUGUCCUAGAGUAAAUGUUCCCCAAAUCACCCAAUAUUCCAUAAAGAGAUACUCUCACAAUCUUUUUUUUGAGAAGGUAAUAAUUAUAGAUCACGUUCCUCUUGUGUAGCAAAACCUCACUUCAUCAUUUACUUUGUCUGGAAAGAACAAAAAAUGAUUGCACCAAACCUCAAAGUGAAUAGUCAUUGAGAUUCCCAUUGUCUGAAAUUUCUGAACUUUUUUGAAUUUGGAAUAUCAUAAACAUGAACUUCUUGUGAGUGACCAACCCACUGCACUAUCAUUAUCAAACACCGUGCAGGGAAAUUUGAGUUCGUGUCAGUGACUGCAGGAGAAGUUGAUGGGGAGCAGUCAAGAUGGUUGGGGCUUAUUAAGCUAAAGAUCUAUAGGUGGCUGAGUUUUGCUGUAUUGAUAGUGAAAAAGUUUGUGGCAGCAAAGAGUUUAUGAUUCCUGAGUAGGGUGUUUUAGGGCAAUCGAUAGGUUUGUGCUUGAGUGGCUGUCUAAAAGGGAUUUAUCUUAUAAUGUUUAAGGGGUUGAAGUCAAACCUGAGCAUGACCAAUUAAUUGAUCUGUCCAACCCUUAUUCUGGCUAUACGGUUACCACCUGUACUUGGAAUUGUCUCAGUUGAUGCCACUUUUGCAUUCAAGAGCAUGACUGCCCACUCCAAAUCUUUUCUUUUCGAAUUCGUUCAACCUCCCAAACAAACAAAAAGGGGAUUGAAAGGAUUUCCAACUUCUUGCAAUUUGCAUGGUGCGAUACUGAUUUUUCAACACACCCUCUCUAUGAUUCUUUAUGCAUUUGUACAAAUGACAAAAUCUUUAAUAUUUUCGCUGGAGAUGAAAAGUCAUAAUCCCAUACUUUGUUUCUUCAGUCUUUCUUUUUCUUUAUGCUGUCCCCACUCUGUCUUGUUUUGAAAAGAAAAAAUGUAUUGCGGCUGUCUGGUUCAUCUUGCUCAUUCAUAAAUGGAGGAUAUCCAGGUUAAGAAAAUUAUUCCAAACAAACAAUCAGAUGUUUGAUUUGAGAGCUUAACAGAUACUAUACCUUUUUUUUUUUUGGGCUGCACUUUUACAGGCAAGGGAAUUCUUUUUACAGUGAUGAAUAAUUCCGUUUUUUGGCCUUUCUUUUACUUUGCCCUUUGCUUUGUCUUUUUUCCUUGUCUGUUUCUCUUCUUCUUCCUUAUUCUUCACCAGCAAACCCUAGCACAUUAGCAUCGCCACAGUGCCACCAUCAAUUGCCAAUGCACCGCUUUUGACCACCGUCAACCACUACCAGCAGGCAUCAAUUUUAAGAAACCACAUAUGAUCUUACUUCAUUUUUUGAUAUGCUUUCAUUUUCGGGUACAAGGUUGACAACCACAAUACUAGGCCUGAACCAUCAGCUGAAGCAGGCACUCAGCAAUUUUUUCCCAUCAAACCCAAGUUAAAAAACAAAAAUACACAUAUAAAAAUGAGUCAUUGGGUUUAAGGAAAUUAGCUCCACCAUCAGUUACUAAAACAUUCAUACAAAUGAAUUUGGGGGUAGGGGGCAUUCGUGGAGCAUAGGUGGAGGCAUGGGGAGAGUUUGCUGCAUUCUUUCUUCUUGGAUACUUGUAACUUUUUUUGUUUUGUUUUUCUCUUCACUAUAGUGGAGAACUAAGUAGGUUAACAGGGGUGAAACCCACUAAAUUUGUCGGAGUGACUAAACCCAUUGAAGACCACUAUGAUUCCUUUAAAUUCAUUUCUGGUGGUUGUUACGAAACAUAAUUCGGUAUGAUUGACUUUGACUCCCAUUGCUGGGUCUGAUUUACCUUUACCAAAAAGGUCCUUCAUUUACCUGUUUAAACUAUAAUUUCUCCAGCCGCUUCCUCAUCUUCUCAGCAGUUUUCAAGAUAGUUGUUUUCUAUGCAGCUGGCAGGAUCUUCAAACCUAGGGGCUGUGGAAGAGAUCUAUUUUGAUUUCAGGAAGCAGUGUUUCAUUUUUUCUAAGGAGAAGGAAACUUUUUGUAAGCUUCCUUAUCCUUCUAAGGAAACAUUUGGAUAUUAUCUGAAAAGCACUGGCCAUGGCACUGAGGCUAAAGUUGUUGCUGCUACUGAGAAAUGGGGACGGAAUGCGUAAGUUGUUCAUUUUUGUUAAUUGUGUUCCGAAUCCCACACUUCAUUUACAUGAAUUUUACACAUCAGACUGAUGAUGAGCAACCAAUCAUCCCUGCCCAUAUUAUCUGCUUAUGUUAGAAAAGAUUUAAUUUCUUUCUGAGUGGGAUUCUUGUGGUUGUUUCCAGUGUUACCAGAAGAUUUUAUCCUGUUCUCAGUGAUUUUCUUGGAUUUUGACCUUGAGAGAAUUUUGGAUUUUAUUGCAGCAUCUUCUUUUUCGUUUUCUUUUUUUUUCCUUUGUUUAUGCAGUUACACAGACAAAUAACCUGACAAUUUGAAAAUGGUACAUGGUGCUUUGAGACUUUCACUUCAAAUAGUAUGUCGCUGUCAAAGACAAGGCCUUUUUGCUUGAUGUUCUAGCAAUAUCUCCGUUUAAUCUCUUUUGUGUAUCAUGUGGAAUGUUUUUGAAUGCUUUUACUUAUUUUUCUCUUCCUUCCCUCUGAAAAUUUUAGCGUACAGAAUAUUAUAAACUUCUCUAAUAUACAAAUUUAUAAUCACUGCAAGUAGACAUAGGUUUAUUGGAUACUUCAAUUUCAUUUUGGUGUAUAGUCAUAGUCCAACAUUAGCAUCAAUUUGAGCAAUUCUUUUAAAGUAAUUAUUAUUUUUUUUAUGCUAUAUCACAUUUAUGCUCAUCAAUGUGUACUUCUGUUGAAUAUUUUGCAUCUACAUUUCAUAUAAUUCCUUUAUCCUCGUGUUGGUUUUUUGUUAUGUAGAUUUGAAUAUCCUCAGCCCACAUUCCAGAAAUUAAUGAAAGAGCAGGUCAUGGAACCAUUUUUUGUAUUCCAGGUCUGCCGUCAUUUACAUUUGUACUUCUGUGUUGCUUGAAAAAAAUGUCUUCUUCCGAUUUUGCGGUUCAUUAUUUUUGUGAUUAAUAGUGUUCUUUGCUCUUUCUAAUCUUUUGAUGCUGCUUCUGUAGGUCUUUUGUGUGGGCUUAUGGUGUUUAGAUGAAUACUGGUAUUACAGUCUCUUUACCCUGUUUAUGCUGUUUAUGUUUGAGUCAACAAUGGCCAAAAGUCGUUUAAAGACUCUCACUGAGCUCAGACGUGUAAGAGUAGACAACCAGACAAUAAUGGUGUAUCGGUGUGGGAAGUAUGUUUUGCCUAUGGCUAUUGCUAAUUUUUCCCCCCCCCUUCAUGUUCUUGAAUUUGCAAUCUUUUUUUGGAAUCUUUUGCUAUUGCUGAGUAGUGAAAAAUUUUGAACUGUAGAUGGGUUAAACUCACUGGGACAGACCUUUUGCCUGGGGAUGUUGUGUCUAUUGGGCGUUCUACUGGUCCAGCAGGAGAAGAUAAGUCUGCGCCAGCUGAUAUGCUUUUGCUAGCUGGAAGUGCGAUCGUAAAUGAAGCUAUUCUGACAGGCGAGUCUACCCCUCAGUGGAAGGUGGUCUUCUUGUUCUUUUUCUCUUCCC
RNAcentral lists this long non-coding RNA (7197 nucleotides) under Coffea arabica (coffee). RNAcentral's name for it is "long non-coding RNA (CARA_LNC007858)". The record is from RNAcentral. Lineage: Eukaryota; Viridiplantae; Streptophyta; Magnoliopsida; Gentianales; Rubiaceae.